RNAcentral lists this ribosomal RNA (610 nucleotides) under Corynebacterium striatum. RNAcentral's name for it is "partial 23S ribosomal RNA". It matches the Rfam family "Bacterial large subunit ribosomal RNA", at positions 1 to 571 of the family's 2925-position model. Lineage: Bacteria; Bacillati; Actinomycetota; Actinomycetes; Mycobacteriales; Corynebacteriaceae. The record is from RNAcentral.
UGUUCGUUAUUUAGGGCGCAUGGUGGAUGCCUUGGCAUGCUGAGCCGAUGAAGGACGUGAAAGGCUGCGUUAAGCCUCGGGGAGUUGUCAAUUGAGCGUUGAUCCGAGGAUGUCCGAAUGGGGAAACCUGGCACCUGUUAUGGGGUGUUACCUUGCAGUGAAUUCAUAGCUGUUGUGGGGGUUACGCGGGGAAGUGAAACAUCUCAGUACCCGUAGGAGAAGAAAAUAAUAAUGAUUCUGCUAGUAGUGGCGAACGAACGUGGAUGAGGCUAAACCGUGUGCAUGUGAUACCUGGUAGGGGUUGUGUGUGCGGUGUUGUGGGCCCUGAUGAGGAUGGCUACUGACGUCCUGCCUGCGCAUUGUUGUUAGGUGAAGUGGUGUGGAAACGCCUGCCGUAGAAGGUGAUAGUCCUGUAGCUGAAGAUGAUGGUGUGUGGGUUGUUGGGUUGCCCGAGUAGCAGCGGGCUCGUGGAAUCUGCUGUGAAUCUGCCGGGACCACCCGGUAAGCCUAAAUACUCAGUGUGACCGAUAGUGGAUAGUACCGUGAGGGAAUGGUGAAAAGUACCCCGGGAGGGGAGUGAAAUAGUUCCUGAAACCAUGUGCUUACAAUC